AUGGCCGCCUCGACCGCCGCCGUGCUGUCCCCGCCCACCGUGGCCGGGCUCCGCCUGGCGCCGUCCCCGCGCGCGGCCGUCUCGUUCCGGGGGGCCUCGUCGUCGGCGGCGAGGCGGUCCGUGGCGGCGCGGGCGGCGCUGGAGCCGUCGGUGGUGAUCAGCCUCAGCACGGGGCUGUCGCUGGUGAUGGGCCGCUUCGUCUUCUUCAACUUCCAGCGGGAGAACGUGGCGAAGCAGGUCCCCGAGCAGAACGGCAAGACCCACUUCGAGGCCGGCGACGAGCGCGCCAAGGAGUUCGCCGGCAUCCUCAAGUCCAACGACCCCGUCGGCUUCAACCUCGUCGACGUCCUCGCCUGGGGCUCCAUCGGCCACAUCGUCGCCUACUACAUCCUCGCCACCACCAGCAACGGAUACGACCCACCCUUCUUCGGCUGA
This 435-nucleotide ribosomal RNA is filed under the name Triticum aestivum (bread wheat). Its description in RNAcentral is "partial small subunit ribosomal RNA". The record is from RNAcentral. Lineage: Eukaryota; Viridiplantae; Streptophyta; Magnoliopsida; Poales; Poaceae.